RNAcentral lists this transfer RNA (70 nucleotides) under Danio rerio (zebrafish). It matches the Rfam family "tRNA". Rfam says of the family: Transfer RNA (tRNA) molecules are approximately 80 nucleotides in length. The record is from Rfam by way of RNAcentral. Lineage: Eukaryota; Metazoa; Chordata; Actinopteri; Cypriniformes; Danionidae.
ACUUCGAUAGCUCAGUUGGUAGAGUGUAGGACCAAUUCUUAGGUCGCAGGUUCGAUUCCAGCUCAAAGGA